This 345-nucleotide ribosomal RNA is filed under the name uncultured bacterium. Its description in RNAcentral is "bacterial SSU rRNA". It matches the Rfam family "Bacterial small subunit ribosomal RNA", at positions 29 to 386 of the family's 1533-position model. The record is from RNAcentral.
AAUGAACGUUGGCGGCGUGGAUUAGGCAUGCAAGUCGAGCGAGGAAACUUGUAGCAAUAUGAGUUAUUCGAGCGGCGUAAGGGGCAGUAAUACCUGGGAACGUACCCUCUGGUUGGGGAUAGCUGCUGGAAACGGCGAGUAAUACCCGAUGAACUCGAGAGAGCAAAGGCUUGCCGCCGGAGGAGCGGCCCAGGCGAUAUUAGCUAGUUGGUGAGGUAAUGGCUUACCAAGGCUUAGAUGUCUAGCGGGUGUGAGAGCACGACCCGCGCCACUGGCACUGAGACACUGGCCAGACACCUACGGGUGGCUGCAGUCGAGAAUCUUCGGCAAUGAGCGCAAGCUUGA